AUCGCUUCUCGGCCUUUUGGCUAAGAUCAAGUGUAGUAUCUGUUCUUAUCAGUAUCGUGAGUGGCAGACCCUCCAGGAUUUUUAUGAAACAUGUGCAGAGUGGUGGGAAACGGUUAAAGAAAGGACACAGCUUUU
Oreochromis niloticus (Nile tilapia) is the source of this 135-nucleotide small nuclear RNA. Its record names the gene U2. It matches the Rfam family "U2 spliceosomal RNA". Rfam says of the family: U2 is a small nuclear RNA (snRNA) component of the spliceosome (involved in pre-mRNA splicing). Complementary binding between U2 snRNA (in an area lying towards the 5' end but 3' to hairpin I) and the branchpoint sequence (BPS) of the intron results the bulging out of an unpaired adenosine, on the BPS, which initiates a nucleophilic attack at the intronic 5' splice site, thus starting the first of two transesterification reactions that mediate splicing. NCBI's taxonomy places the organism in Eukaryota, Metazoa, Chordata, Actinopteri, Cichliformes, Cichlidae. The record is from Ensembl.